CCUACGGGAGGCAGCAGUAGGGAAUAUUGCUCAAUGGGGGAAACCCUGAAGCAGCAACGCCGCGUGGAUGAUGAAGGUUUUAGGAUUGUAAACUCCUUUUGUGAGAGAAGAUAAUGACGGUAUCUCACGAAUAAGCACCGGCUAACUCCGUGCCAGCAGCCGCGGUAAUAAGGAGGGUGCAAGCGUUACUCGGAAUCACUGGGCGUAAAGAGUGCGCAGGCGGGCUUUUAAGUCAGAUGUGAAAUCCUGUAGCUUAACUACAGAACUACAUUUGAAACUAUUGGUCUAGAGUGUAGGAGGGGUAGGUGGAAUUCUUGGUGUAGGGGUAGAAUCCGUAGAUAUCAAGAGGAAUACUCAUGGCGAAGGCGACCUACUGGAACAUUACUGACGCUCAUGCACGAAAGCGUGGGGAGCAAACAGGAUUAGAUACCCCUGUAGUC
RNAcentral lists this ribosomal RNA (440 nucleotides) under uncultured bacterium. Its description in RNAcentral is "partial 16S ribosomal RNA". It matches the Rfam family "Bacterial small subunit ribosomal RNA", at positions 338 to 795 of the family's 1533-position model. The record is from RNAcentral.